RNAcentral lists this ribosomal RNA (388 nucleotides) under uncultured bacterium. RNAcentral's name for it is "bacterial SSU rRNA". It matches the Rfam family "Bacterial small subunit ribosomal RNA", at positions 32 to 413 of the family's 1533-position model. The record is from RNAcentral.
AAUCAACGCUGGCGGCGUGCCUCAGACAUGCAAGUCGAACGAUUAAAGCUCUCUUCGGAGAGUGUAUAAAGUGGCGCACGGGUGAGUAACACGUAAGUAAUCUACCUUCGAGUGGGGAAUAACGUCCGGAAACGGACGCUAAUACCGCAUAAUGCAGCGGCAUCGCAAGAUGACAGUUGUUAAAGAUUUAUCGCUUGAAGAGGAGCUUGCGGCAGAUAGCUAGUUGGUAAGGUAAUGGCUUACCAAGGCUACGAUCUGUAACCGGUCUAAGAGGACGGUCGGUCACACUGACACUGAAUAACGGGUCAGACUCCUACGGGAGGCAGCAGUCGGGAAUUUUGGGCAAUGGGCGAAAGCCUGACCCAGCAACGCCGCGUGAAGGAUGAAG